GCCAGGAUGGUAUAGUGGUUUGAGCAUUGGAUUUUGAUUCUGGAGACCAGGGUUUGAAUCCCUGCUUGGCC
Non-coding RNA from Phrynosoma platyrhinos (Desert horned lizard), 71 nucleotides. Lineage: Eukaryota; Metazoa; Chordata; Lepidosauria; Squamata; Phrynosomatidae. The record is from the annotation of a GenBank genome assembly.